This is an RNA transcript of Corythoichthys intestinalis (scribbled pipefish), 16394 nucleotides long. It is a transcript of the gene named fibroblast growth factor 6a, with no coding region annotated. The transcript is spliced from 5 exons. The record is from RefSeq and is a predicted model, not a curated record. Lineage: Eukaryota; Metazoa; Chordata; Actinopteri; Syngnathiformes; Syngnathidae.
GGGGGGUAGAUGGGGAUAUUUGUAUGUUUUAACUAAAUAAUUUGCUCAAUAAUGAUGUGAAAUUGCAGCAUUUCAGUCAGCACACCUGACGAUCUUGCAGGUGUAACGAUGGAUUUGUUUGCUAAAGUUGUUGAAGAAAAAGUGGACCCGCAUGAGCGCCGUCAUUGCUCUCCAGUGACAAGUGGGACUCUUUUUACACCUUCCUUCUAAAUAAGGAAGCGGCCUGACAGACAUAUGACCACCGACCCAAUUUGGGAGCAGCCCUGAGGGCCUGCUCACCCCCUACCACCUUUAGUGGGCCAGCAAUGACAAAACAUUGAAAGCACUUUCCUGCAGCCACCAGGGCCAUCUCAGGCCUUACUUUGGGAGUCAGAUCCGGUAAGGAUGCGGGGCCCUCGGCUGGCCUGAGGGGGGUGUAUCUCUCCCUGUUUUUUUUUUUUUUGUUUAGUUUUUUUUUUUUUGGUGCAAGGCGUAUUAUAUCUCGCAAUCCUUCAUUUUGGUGGCGGAGCAGGAGAGAGAGUAAGUGCGUGCGCGUGUAGGGGGGAGAGAGAGAGGCGUGGAGGUAGGAGCUGCAAAACAUGGUAAUCGCCAGCAGCAGCACCAGCACCAUCACCUCCAGCGUCGCUUCUUCUCCUCCUCCUCCGCACCGGGGUUUGCGUUUCAUGCCCCGCGCGGCUCCAGAAAUAACCCUCAGCCAGCAUGCCGAAGGGAGAAAAACAAGAAGAGCGGUAUUUUUAGGCUCAUUAAUUUGGACCACGUGGUCUGAAGGUAAACCGGAUGGCCGGAGCUCACAGGCUCCUCGUCAGUAUGUCCUGCGAGGCCGGCACGCCGCACUGGACGCUGACGGCGGCGGUUCUCUUGAGCCUCCUGCUGGGCAUCGUGUCGGCGUACCCGCUGCCGAACGCCACCUCGCUGCUGGAGAAGCGAUGGGAGACGCUCUUCUCCCGCUCCGUGCUCGGGAUCUCCGGGGAAAAGCCGGAGCUCAACUGGGAGAGUGACUACCUGCUGGGCAUCAAGAGAGUGCGGAGGCUCUACUGCAACGUGGGCAUCGGCUUCCACCUGCAGGUCCUUCCCGGCGGCGCGAUCAACGGCGUCCACCGCGAGAACCAGUACAGUCUCAUUGAGAUCUCGACAGUGGAGAGAGGGGUGGUGAGCCUGUAUGGAGUCAAGAGUGACUUGUAUGUCGCCAUGAACAGACGGGGGAGGUUAUAUGGGACGACCGUGUUCCAUGAUGAAUGCAAGUUCCGUGAACGGAUGCUCCCCAACAACUACAAUGCAUAUGAGUCGCUGGCGUACAGAGGCUCUUACGUGGCGCUCAGCAAGCACGGCCGCGUCAAGAGGGGCAACAAGGCCACCACUGCCAUGACUGUGACGCACUUCCUACCCCGAAUAUGAGCCUCCCCACACCCACUCUGAGCAAAGGCUGGCAAUAACACACUUAUUUGCACAUGUGGAUUCUUUCCCAGAAAGCUGCUCGCACCCUAACCGACCCACAGCACUGGGCCUGCUUCAGUGAGGAGAGCGCCCGUUACCAAUUGACCAUGCAAGCGGCUUUCUUACCAUUCCUACUAAUUGCCGCCCACGUUUCUACCUUGGAAUGUAAGUGGAUUUCCCAAGACUUGAAAGAGAGCCAGAUCCAUCAGCGCUUGACCUCGAGAUCACAUGAACACACGCCAGCAAGGAGGACACUCUACUACCUGCAGUCCAGCAACCGAUCAAUGAGGCGGCGUUUUCUGGUUGUGCCAUCAGUCUCGCAAAAGCACUUGUUGGCCCCUUUGGGGAGGCGAGCUAGAAGGAGUGAGGAGGUGAACCCAUCCGACCCGUUACGAUCUGAGUCGGUUCCCUCUCAUUCAGUAAUGGACCGUAAAGAUUCGGAGCACGGGCAGCCAGAGCCGGAACCAGAUCAGACAGGAGCAGUGUCGAAAGAGACCAUCUCCUCCUGUGAUGACCCUCUAAAGGUGUUGCACGCCAACGGGCCGGUGAGUCCGGUCAAGGCUAACAUAGCGGAACAAGACUGACCUUGUAAACGGGGAAAGAAUGUGCUCUAGAACAUUUGUGGUCAAGUAUCAGGAGUGAUAGACUCUUGUCAAAACUAUUGUUCAUGUCGUAAAUAAUGGAAUAAUCCGUUGCAUGGAUAAAAGUUCCAAAUCUUUUAGUCUAGUAGGCCUAUUGUUUUUUUUUUUUUGUUUGUUUGUUUUUGUUUUUUUUAAACUCUUUCAGUGAAAGUGAGGUACAAAUGAAUGAACUCCAAUGCAAAUUUGGAGAUCCAACAUUAUCAUUUACCGGUAAUUAUUAUUUUUUUUAAUGUAUACCGGGUACUAGAAUGAUGAGGUACGGCCAUUGAAUGACAGCAUUGGAUCUCUUUUGCAUUCAGUCAGAACAAGAGGAAGGGAGAUGAGAAAAUGGUGAUGCUCUGUAUAUCUGGCAGUUGAAAUGUUGCUGCCGCUCAUCAAUGUUUCAAGAGUGCCACAAAGAUCUCUCUUUUGAUCAUUUAGAUUCAAAGAUAGAAAUGAUGACGCGGCUGAUUAGACCAUCAGAAGAGUUGUAGUUCAUCAGAACCACGCUCAUCGCGUGACAAUAUAUCAAGCCAAGACAACCCAUCAUCCUUUGAUGGGUGCUUGCUGUUAACACACCGAUAAUUUUUUGUAAAUAAAUUUUUGAAACAAAAGUAUUUCUAUUGUUUCAUUUUUUUUAUUAGUAGGAAGGCACCUUUCAGAUGUUACUAAAACUAUCAAAAAAAUUAAGCGUUGUGUUGCAAAUAUUAUGCCUAUAGGUUUUUCUCCAUUUCAUUCCAGAGUUCUUGGCUAGAAGAACUAAACAAGACAACCCUUUGACAUCUAUUAAAAAAAAAAAAAAAAAAAAAAAAAAGUUUCAUUCAGCACGUAGUUGUCCUUUAACCUCCUUUCGUCAGUUAAACUUUAAACCUGAGCGAAGAUGUGGUAAUGUUUGUCUUGCGGAUUGAAAAUCCAUCUUUAUUAGCAAUUGUUUAUUUUAAAAAAUUGUUGGCUAAAAAAAAAAAAAAAAUUAAAUCAGUUUAAAUCUACAGUAUCUGGAUCAGACAGUGCGCAUGCUGCCAUUCACGUCAGGUGCCAGACACCAAGCCAUACAUUAAGGUAUAUUUAUUCAUUAAGCGGCAGAUGAUGGAUGUAACUUAUUCAAGAGGAAGAGAGUCUCAUUUCACAAUGACAUUUGCGGUAUGAAUUAUGGUGCUUAUACAUGUCAAGUGCUGUGGAUGAUCAUGUUUCAGUGCCACUGAUGUCAUUAAUGUCCAUACUGCAUUAAAUGGUUAAGAUAACUGCCAACCCUCCCAGUCAAAAGGGAUGAGCCAUAACGGUAUUACUAAAUUGUAAUUUUCACACCAUGUAUCAAUUUAGUGUCAAGAUAUCAUGUGACUAUUUAUAGAGUGCUGUCCAAAAGAUAUAUGCAUAAAAGGGCAUUUAUAUUAUGCUGUCAAUAUUUGAGUUGGAGAAAAAAAUAGGUCAGUAGUAGUUUUUGUGAAUAUAAGAUUUUUUUGUUCAAAAUUUUUGAAUGCGAGUACAUAUUGGCAUUGUGUUCAGAUUUCAGUUGCCAUCUUGACACCCAGACUCAAGCAAUGACAGCAUAAUAUAAUUACAAAUGCAUAGUCAUUCAUGUCUUUGACCGUGUUCUUACGCCAUAGCCAUCGACUAUAUUUGCACAUGAUCUCCUCUGUUGACAAACAAGCACCGAAUACUUAACACUUUAAAAGUCUGGUCGGCCUCUUUGGUCAAGGUGAGCACAAAGCGACUGACACCCGCGUUAGGACUCAGAGAGAACAUGCCUGCUCUGCUACAGCCCUCGGGCACAGGGCACAUUAAAUCGUCCACCAAGUAACGCAUGGUCACACACAAGUAGGCCCCGUGGGUGACCACCAAGGCGUGGACUGGAAGCUCGUCCGCUGAAGAACGCUCGUCUUGGCCUCUCUCCGGCCAGUGUUCGCAUCCGACUUGUUGGACCAUUUUGAGCCAAAAAUCUUUGACGCGCUGCUUGACCUGAAGACAGUAAACGCCCGCUUGUCAAUUUGUGUGGAAUCCUGAUGCAACAACAGGCAACUAUGAAUCAGACAGGUGCUGAUUAUAAGCCUCCAAUCUAUCUUUGGCUGCCGUACUCAUCAUCGUUAUGUGCUGUCUCAUGCUGGAAUGGAGCCGAUUCAACUCUGGAAACUAGAGGAGACACAUUUCUGGAAUAGAACCAUGCCUGAAUACAAGUCAGUGAUGACUUUUUAAUCAGAGCCACUCUAAACAGUAAGGAGGAUGUACUUUGAUGUCAUCUAGGCAUGAGGAUGUACAGAACCCCUGCAUUUCCAAGCUCUUUAUGUUUGUCCUUAUAUGUGCCGCCCUCUAGUGGCCUGCUUUUCCCACAAGUGUAAUUUCAUCGCUUGAGCAGGGCAGAGCAAAAAGACAGGUCACUAUUUUGUAAUUGUAUGUGUAAUAAGUUAAGAGUUAGUAUCAUGUUAAAAAAUAAUAAAGACUGUGUGAAUAAGAGGGGUAAAUAUUUAGACUAUUUAAGACUCUGCAAAUCAAUAAAAUAUGGCCACAAAAUACACACUUUUUUUACUAUAAGGAUGCCCAUUUACAAAAUGAUUCUUAUCCUGAGCUAGAAAAUGUAAAAUGUUAAGUAUAAGAACCAUAUUUAAGAAUUUUGAUUGAUUAAAGAUCAAGGUUGUUUCCAGUAGAAUGCUUAAUUUUACUGAUCCUUUUGACUUUUUUUUUUACACAAUAAAACUCAAAAGCAGGAGGAUAGGGAUACAAAAAUAAAGUAAAACCGUCAUUUAAACUGGAAUUUUGUGCAAACUGCGUAUUAAAUACAAUACAUACCACAGGUGGUUAUUAACGCCUUAUAUUUAUUGUUACAUUUACUUGAGUAACUUUUUGAGAAAAAUGUACCUCUAAGAAUAGUUUUACUAAGCCAUAAUUUUUUACUUUUACAUGAGUAGAUUUGUGAAGAAAAAAACCCAACUCUUACUCCGCUACUUUGGGCUACACAAGAGUUGUUACAUUUUUGCUCUUUAUUCUUCAUAUUAGAUUUAAACUCUCUUCCAGUUUUUAUUUGGCACCGAUUGACAGCGGAAAACAGGAAAUGAGCCUUUUAAUUUAAUAAUUGAAAAUGUUUUCUUCACUGGACGGCACUCAUGCUCUUUCAACAAAUGAUGCUUCAUUUAUGUAUUUUUUUUCGCUUGUCGAAAUUCAUUUAUUUUUUUUGUUUCUCUGGCUUAAUGUGGUUAUGAAAGUGGUUAUAGUACAGUAUAACAAUAACAGUUCAAAUAGAUUAAGUGCUAAGAAAAAAUAUAUACCUUUAUUUAGAAGGAAAAAAAUCUAUUGUAAGCAGUUACUCGUUACUUGAGUAUUUUUUUCACCGCUUUUUUUUUUUUUUUACUUGUACCUAAGCACAUUUUUGGAUGACUAAUUUUACCUUUACUUGAGUAAUAUUAUUUUGAAGUAACGCUACUCCUACUUGAGUAAAUUUUUUUGGGCUACUCUACAUACUUCUGAUACAUAAAGAAUAACUAGUCUUAAUUUUUUCCCUACUAUCACAAUGAAUCAAUCGAGAAUUAACAACUGUUUUGAUUUUGUGAGCAUAUGCAUUUUACAAAUCAAAUUAGACGACUUGUAUGAUACAAUUUUGACAGAUAUCAAAGAUUUGUUGCAUGAUAUAAAGAAUACAUUACUUCAUUCACACUAUGUUGAGAUUUUAUGAGCAAUCUGAAGCCAAAUUAUUAUUUUGUAUAUAGAGUGUUCUAAAGUUGAAUUAUUACCUGCUCUGGAGUUUCUCCUUGCGGAGGAGUGAAGACAGCCAAUGACUGACCAGCGGCCUUGGCCAUAUCUUUUGCAUCUUGUAAUCGCUUCCCCUCGGCUAUCCCAAAGCUCUAAAAACAACAAAAAGCAAGGGGUCAUUUUACAUGAUUUUUCCAAAAAUGAGAUACCUUGUGCAUGUGUAUUAGAGACGAUUUGUUCGACUGACCUUCUCCUUAAGUAGAGGGUCACAGAUCAGCUGUAGACCAGCACAACUACUAUUGUGCUUCACAAUGGUUUCAGCAGUCUAGAAAAGAACCAUAAUUAUCCACCUGUCCUUUUUCGAUUCUGCUUGUUCUAUUCAAACCUUCAACCUCUCCUUAACAUAAAACACCCAACCUGUCGCGCUCUCAGCAUGUCACUGACAAACAGGUUGGAGAACUUGACAUCUUUCAGGUAGCGACCUGCUGCCUCAGCCUGUUGCAGUCCAACCUCAGACAGUGGGCAGUCUAUGGCCUGGCCUGUAUUCAAAAUUAAUGAAACACGAUGAAAUGUCUCGAAAGAAGACAAAGAAGCUUCCUUCACAAUGGUUUAUUAUAUAAUUACAUGACACCAUACCUUGUAGCAGGCCUUCUUUAUUGUACUGGGUUUCUCCACUGUAAAAAAAUAAAAUUAUUUCAACUAACAUAUCCACACAGGAAAAGUAAAACACGUGCGAAAGACAGCAGUCUUGUAUAUGUGUAUGUAUAUAUAUAUAUUUUUGGCGAGGGGGUCACAUACAAAUUAUUUAAAGCAAUGCAAGGGCGUAGGUUUGCAUAGGGACGGUAUGGACAUAAAACACGCAACUUUUCAGGAUGCUCAAAUUGUCCCCACAAACUUUUAAUCAACCUUAUUUGCAUUAUAUAAUGUGUUGAGUUAAAGAGGUCAUUUAGAUUGACUUCCCAUAUGUUGUAAUGAUAGAAUUGACCCUACCAUUAUUAAAUGAUUUAUUUUCAUUAUGUUCAGACUUACAUUUACUCCUUUUUCACUGACUGAAUGAGCCGCUCCAUUUUUUUCCCUCAAACGCACAUUUGAUUGGCUGAUGGACCCCCCCCCCCCCCCCACACACACACACACACAUGGACACUCUCACAGUUCAGGAUUACAUUGCAUGUCGACAUGCCUUCCUCUGCCCGCUUUGAAGAGGAGGGUAUUAGAAGUUUUUUUUUCGGCCAGCAGCCACUGUAAGUAAUAGAGUUGGCAUUACCAUUACGAUAUACUGUGUGAACCUGCAAACUUGAGUAGGAAGCUGCUUAAGUACUGUAGAAGUGUCUUCCUAUAUGUGUUUUCCACUAUGUUAACGAUAAUUAAACUGUGAGAACUAUAGUAAACUCUGCAGCUGUUAGAAACGUGGUAAACCAAGGUUUACCCCCUUCUCCCCACUUUUCAUUUCAUUUUACUUAUGUGGUCUUAAAGCAGUAGUCCAAAGGAGCUUUCAUUUUUUGUUGAGUUCGGCUGUGCUUGUGGACAAAGAGUAGUGUUUAUCCUGACGGAAGGCUCCAUUUUUAUUUAUUUUUGUUAUUCCAUGACUAACAACUUUUUUGGGGUUAUAUUUAAUUUAUUUAGACAGACAAUUUUGAGUGGUAAUAAGAAUUUUUUUUUUUUUUUUUUUCACAUGGGUUAUAUUUAAUUUAUUUAGACAGACAAUUUUGAGCGGUAAUAAGAUCCCCCCCCCCCCCCCCCCCCACAUUCCUGGAUACUUAAGAGAUGAUUAACAAGCUUGUAUUUCUCGUGUAUGUUAAUAUAAUUUGUGUUCAAAUAAUGCAAUUUAAAUUUGCUAAUAAAAUCCAGACAUUUGUUCUGGAAGUUUUCAAAAUAGUGUCUUUUGUAGUUUUUGAAAACAAAGGGUAAAAUCGAAUGGUGUAUCACCUGAACCAAUACAUAUGCACUGCAAAACCCACAUCCUUAAAACUGAGGCGAAAAAAAAAAAAAAAAAAUCUUAAAUUCCUUUGUUUUCAGUGUAAAUCUACUAGAAAUAAAAUUAUCUGCCAGUGCUUCAGGUAAAUUUUACUAGCUGAAAAUAACAGACUUAUUUGAAACAAACAGUUUGUAUAUUUCAUCUUUAAAAAUGGUCAGAAAUGUUCUUAAUUCAAGAAGUGUUCUAAACAUUAUUCGAAAGCAUUUUUUUCAUGAUUUAGGUGAAAAAUGACCGACUUUUAGAUGUAUGGGCUUAAUAAGAACAAAUGGUAAUAUAUACUAAAAGAAAGUGGAAGAAUCUGACGCAUUUAUCUGUUAACUAGCCUUUAAAACUCAAAACCAGAUGAAACAAAUUAUUCGACUAGAUUUGAGAAAAAUUAACAGAUUAAGACGUUAUACUGUAAAAUUUGUAGUGAAAAAGUUAGUACAAGUCGGUACAGAUAUAUUUUGCAUUAAUGGUUUAGCCCACAGGUGUCAAACCGAUUCCAGAAAGGGCCAAGUGACUCCAUACAAGUGGGUGCUGGAUUUCGUUUCAACCGAUUCCGCGCAGAGAAUUUAACCAAUGAACUUUCUGCUGAAACAAGCAGCACCUGACAAUGAUUAACUGAUUACACAUGUAAAAGAUCUAAUUUGUACAAAGGUAUCCCCUUCAUUGGUUGGAAAGCAAACCUGCACCCUCUUAGUCCUUUCUGGAAUCAGUUUGACACCUGUGUUUAGGUUCUUAUUGGUGGGAAAUGUCGCCCUGGCCGCCGUUCAUCCAAUCUGUUGGGUCUUAUUAAUGUCCUGUCCCCAGCAAAAAGUGUACAAGUAGCUUAUGCUGUUAUAUCGUCCUUACCAAUAUUGAGACCAAACCUACCUCCUUGAAGCAACGUGUUAACUUCAACUAACUGCUUCCACCAGCUUUUAAACCACAGUCGUCUAUUUAAAGUGGAAGUGGAUACUGCAAUCACUUGCGAGGACCGGGUCGGUUAAUUUAUUACCCCCUCUGCUGGCCACUUUGAUAAACUACAUGCAGUGCAUACAUGCCAUAAAGUCAAGCUAUAUUCUUUACUACAGCGUGGCGAUUCAAACACAAGUGUGUCGCGAUAUCAUAUAAGUCCACGCCAGUGGAAGAUUUGUCAGCUAGCGCAUAGCUAAGUCAACAGCGAAGCAAAUACACAGCCACGAGUAGCAGCUUUUGCUGUACUUACUGUCGAACAAAUGUCAGCCCGAACGUUAACACCUCCAUUUCCUGGAUCGUCACAAUGCGCGCUGCUGCCCGCAUGUGUCAGGAGCUGCUUCUUAUGACGGAAGAAACAUGUCGAGUGUUAAAAUAAAUAAAUAAAAUAAUUUAAAAAAAAAAAAAAAAAAAAAAAAAAAAAAAAAAAAAAAAAAGGGGCGACUGUACUUCCUGGUCAGAGCCGUAUAAAGAGAGAGUUGCCACUCUCUCUGAUGUCGCCGCAGGUGGUCACGUGGUUCCUGUAGGGUGUGGGUAGUUCCAAGCACAAGCAGCGCUGUAGUGGUUUUCAAUGGAACUGACAGCGGUAAUUGCAACAUUUAUGCGAAAAUCGAUAAAAUCGCGUAUCUAAGUACUAGUUUGAUUAUGUCAUUGCAUUAUAACAUAUGGCGGAACUUGAAGUUCCGCUCUGAGACCCCCAAUUUGGCCAAAUUUCACAAUUGUCCGAUAUGCAUGUGUAAUACAUCACUGGAAAGCUAAAAUCUCAAUUUUCUGGGGGAAGAAAAAAUUUGGACAGGAGGGCAAUUAAAAUAAAAAUAAAUGUUUUUUUAAACAGCAAAACCCUAUCUGGAGGUGAGAGCACACGAGAGCAGAAUUGCAGACGCCAUGACAUUAACGAGAUAUUUUUGCAUACUUACCUUGUUUCGAUCCAAAAACUCCAUGUCGCAUGUAUCACCGAGUGUCAAGAGACAGCUGUGAAUGGCCGAAGCUGGAUUUUUGGGAGAUUUUAUGGGUGAAACAUGGUAAUAUAACAAGGGUCGCCAUGCAGAAAUCGCAGACAUUAGAGUGGUCGAGAUUUUCAUUUUCAUAUAUUUACCUUUUUAACCCUGUAGAGGCCAGCGUUGUAGAAUUACAACAUUUUUAUUUUUUUGUAAAGAAGGGUUAAAAUGUUUUUUUUUUUCUUUUUUCAUUAGUAUAAUCAUUGGGUCCUACCGUUCAGUCUCACAAUAGGUCUGGAUAGGAAAUUUGUAAAUAAGCCCUGCCCACAGUUCCAGGACUUUCAGAAUCUGCAGAACUUUGGCUGUGCAACAACACUUUGGUUUCUUGGACUGGAUUUAUCAGAUUUAAGUAAGUAUAAUGCCUUUAAUAUCUUUUUUUGGUAAUCAUUACACUUACCAGACCAUGUACAUAUGCAAUUAUUGUGAAAUACAUUCAUCAAAUGUAAAUUAGAGCAUCUUGUAUAUAUGUUGUAAUCUUACAACUGUGGCCCUUGGGUAGUCAAAAUGGCCAUGGUGUAGGUUUACAAGUUACCUGGCUAAGUGUAGCCUAAAUAGACAUUUUGACAGGGACCUUCUAUUUUUCACAAUAUAUUUUAAAAUUACACACAUCUUUUACACUUUCCAGAUAUAUUGUACUGUAUUAUAUAGGCUUUAUAUUUAUUUUAAAUUUCCAAACCAGUGCUAUUUGGAACCCACUGUACAAGAAGCUGUAUUACCGAAAUAUAUUGCAAUAGCAUACCUCUUUCUACUGCUUAUAAUUGUAAUCACGUACAAUAGUUCAGUUUCUCAUUCUGAUUGUAUAUAUGUGCCUAUUAUGUUGGCUCGAUUCAUAGCCUAAGCAGUUAGAUCUGGGGGGAUGCAGAAGGGUGCCUGUUGCAUUGUUCCAAGAAAAGGUGACAACGUUCGGAAAUGCAUUCCCAUUGCAGAAAUGAUCAUCUUUGUAGAAAUGCAACAUGCCAUCCUUUUGGGAUGAUGGUUUCACAUUCUUGAACAUUGUCACCUGAUAAUCAGAGCACAAUAGGUUGGCCAGACAGUAUUGUUUGACUAGUGAGAUGUGUAAAUAGGUUACUUUGUCCCCCGCCCAUGCAUGUACCAAUGUUAUUUCCAUUUAGUUUUUGUCAUUUCAGAAUGUCUUCAGCAAGGAGAAAAACCUUCUACACUGCGCAGGAGGUCAUCGACGCUGUCCAAAAUGAAGAGAGUGAUGUGGACAUAGACUUUGAUGAAGCUCAUGAAGAGUCAGAUGACGAAACCCACGAAGAAGUGGACAAAGGAAACCACCCACCCACUGACUGCCCAGCCAAUGAGGGCAUUGGGCCCCAACCAGCCAAACAUGCCAUGCCCCUAGACAGAUAUCGCCGGCAGAAAAAAGUUUUCAUCAGCUGUGAUUUGGAUAUUUCUGGCCCACCGCUCACAAAAGAUGUUCAUUCCCUCGACACACCAUUGGAAUGCUUCCGAUAAUUUGUGUCUGAAGACAUGAUUGAGUCACUCACAAUAAACACAAAUGAGUAUAGCCUUCAAACACAUGGAAGACCCAUAAACACCAACAAAGAAGAAAUAGAACGAAUGAUGGGCAUGUAUCUUAAGAUGGGCCUGGUACAAAUGGCUGGAGUGCGAAUGUACUGGGAGACAAACGGCUUGCACCUGUUGCUGAUGUGAUGUUUCUAAAUAAAUAUGCUAUUUGUAAAAAUAUGACUCCUGUUGAAAUUAUUAUUAAUAUUAUGUACUGUUCUGGGGCUAUGUAACAAGCAAUCAACCAGUGCGAAUUAACCCAUAGUUUUUUUUUUUUUUUUACUGAGAUAUAAACAUUUGUAUCUUUCUGAUUUGACACUGAGUACAACUAGGGUUAGAGUCAGGAAAUCCUGCUACCCCAUUUAGCCAGCGUUGUAAGAUUACAACGUUCUCAUAAAACUUUAUGAAACCAUUUUUUUUUGCAAACACUUCAUUUUCAUUUUCAAAGGCCUCCUACAACACCAUAUAAGUGAUUGAAUUUUUAAAAAAAAAAAGUUUUUCUAUGUCUGGCCACUACAUGGUUAAACUUUUUUGUUUUUUUCUUUGUUUGGAUCGAUUGGAUCGAUUAUUUAUUAUCUAACAUAUCGGAAAAAUGUGACAGUAACCAAAAAAUACAAUUUAGAGCUAGUUAUGAGGUAUAUAUCCGUGACUUUUUUACAGAUGCCAUUUUUUUCAUUGUGACGUAAUUUGUCUAAAAGUAGAAAAUAUGCGCGUGAAUAGAUUCUUUUUUUUUUUUUAAACAAAAUAUUACACAUCAAUUAAUGAUUCUAAGCUAAAAAAUAACAGGCAUUUUGAAUAAUAAAUAGAAUUACCCUUGUUUUCAUGGCUGGGCUGAAACAAAAACAGUUGCGCGACGUCUGCAAAUGGCGGUUUUCAGGGUAAAACGGGCAAAUUAAAAAUAGUUCGGGGGCUUAAUCCGCCAUGAAUCUGCUAUGACAGCAUAUAGACAUAUUGUUCAACCAAACACAAGUUGUUUUGGCUUAAAAUACAGCAGUUUCUUUUAAAGAGAAGUGCAAGAGCAGAAACUUUUCAGUUUUGUCUGUGUUUUCCGCCAUAUAUUUUAAUGCUAGUUUUACAUUUGAAGAGGUAAGGCGACAACUAAAAACUAUGUAAACUAUUACGCAGAAGCAGGGGUGCCGUAUAGGGGUGAAAAGUGAUACUGAUUCUAAGGGCCUAUGCCCUAAUGGGGGCCCACAAAGAAAAUUAGAACAUUAGGUAAUUGUUUGCAAAUUUAAAUAUUAAUCAUCAUAAUUUUAUUAGGAAUAAAACGAAGGGUUUCUUUUUCUUGUUUUGUUUUUGGCAAAAAGUAAUGACCCAGAGAGCAUAUGUAUUCCCAUCCCCCCGUAGUUUCAUUAAAUGGUUUGGUCCGCCCUUCCUUCGAUCAGACCAGGAGCAGUGGUGAGCAUUUACACCAGUAAAUGACUCAAUGAGCGACAUUUCCCUAUUCAAAAACAUGAAUUUCAAAUACGGAUGGCAUUUUUUGGUAUCCUACAAAUGUUAGUUGGUGUGAAAAUGUUCUUUUUUAAAAUCGGCUUGAAUGCAUUUUGUCAAGAAUUUAUUGAAUUUAGUUUGUCAUCAAUUGAAUAUAGUUUGUUAACAAGGGACAUCGCUUCGGAGCUGUAGCCUACUGUGGAGAUCGCGAGUUUACAGAUGAGGCUAAGCCUACUCCAUAAUGAAAUACUGUAAUUGUUUGCUAGCUAGUGUUUGCUCCACUUUUAGCUUACAUUUAAUCUGUACAGCAGGCAAACCGUUAGCAAUCUCGUCAUACUAAAACAGUUGUAAUGUAUACUGUAUAAUGUAAUGUAUACUGUAGUAAGUUAAAACAAAACAUUACAUUUACAUUAAUUCAUUUAAUUACAUUAAGUCAUUCAUUAUGGUAUUUACUUUGAGACUAUUUCUAAUAAAAAUAUAUUUAGAUUGUAAAAGAUGGCCUUCAGUACAUUUCUUAUAUAUGAUAUCAGUCUAUUCAUUAUUGCUCCAUAUACUAUAUGUUUAGAUAGGUAUAUUUUCCUCUUAAAUUAAUGCAGAAAAUGCACAAAUUAGUGUGUGAAGAUUCACCAGAAUGCAGAAAAUUACGAAGUUGAUACUCUAAAUGUGUGUGUGUUCCCCGGCACUGUUGGUGGGGCCCAAAGUGAUAUCUUUUCAUGGGGCUCAAAAUCCCUGGCAGCGCCCCUGCGCAGAAGGGAACUUUCCCAUGUGGAGUGAGUUUCAUGUUUGUCUUAGCAUUAGCACGGGAAGUCGACUUUUACAUUAAAAUGCAAAAUGAUUUUGGUUUUUCUUUUUUCACAACAAGAAUACGGUUUUUCCAGAGAAUGUCUAGAUUUCCUUAAUUCACCUACCUGUGGUAAUAUAUACACCAUGUAUAACAUAUUUUUUUUCCCAAGUUCUAAAUGGCACAUCCUAGUUUGUUUUGUCGAUUUGACAUAUAAAAACACUUUUCUUUCCCAAAAAGUUUGAGGUCACGACUUUUAAAUUCUAUUUUCCACUUUUCUUUAGUCUUGUAAUUUCUAAUGCUUAUAUAUGUGUGUGUGUGUGUAUGUACAUAUUCCUUCUUAUUUUAUAGGCAGUUUGACCUGAAACACAAAGAAAUUACAUUUAACAAAUAUUUCCCGCUUUAACUCAAAUUUUGAAUAUAGCCUAUAAUUUUAGCAAAACCAAACCUGUACCUUUUUAGAGGCAUUUUUCAUUUAGUUUGGACCCAAGCAACCCAAAUAAAAUGAUUACAUAACAGGAACAAAGUUUUAUUAUUUUCUGUAACAUGGUGUAAUGUAUAAAAAUAACAAUUUAUUACCCUUUGAUAAAGAAAAUCAUAUUUUUUAUUGAACAAUUGGUGAAAUUGGUGUCAUGGUUCAUUGUUUACACCUAACAUUUUAUAGCGCAGUGGCCUGUGAUGGUUGGUUGUGCAGCAUGGUUUCCCCAAAGAACAAGAGCAGCAGAAAUGGCAAUUGUCAGCUGUCAAAACAUCAAAUAAAAGGCCUUUUUAAUAUGUUUUUUGCUGUUUGAAAAAGUGGGCUUCGUGCCCACAGCCAGCAGGCACCAGAAGCAGAUCCCAACAGAAGCGUAUCAUGAAAAUGUGACCUAAAAAAAUAUUAAAUUUGUUUUCCAUUAUACAUUUCUGUCUAUUAUUUGUUGAUAUCACUUUACAAUCUAUACACAUCUCUUAAAUAUGUCAAACAUUUUGGUGUAAAGAAUACAGGUUGUCAUGCAUUGACUAGGCACUCUUCCAUGAGGGUGAUACCUUAGUUCAAAGCUUUCAAAAUCGAGUUAAUAAGCACAUGAAAGCCAGUUGUCAACCAAUACUCACAAAUAUAGAUGAGUGUGAAUAUCACAAAAGGCCCCUGAAAGAGAUGACAAUUUAAAAGAGGUAGCGACUUAAUGAAUUUAUCCCUGGCGAGACAUUCCCAAUUAGCAGAGUCAGCUUACAAAGUAGGAGAAAAUCGCUUGUCACUAAGAUAAAAUAUAUGUAUAAUUACGCCACGCACAUACAAAUAAAGCUCAACAUAUACAUCAUGAAGCGCCUUACUGUUGAAAAUUCAAAAGGGACCAUUUUUAUCAUCAACUUACCUCCGAAUAUACUUGACAGCCAGCCAUUCGUAUGAAUGCAGUCCGCCCUCGUCGAAGCCAUGUUUGGAACUACCCGAGGCUCCACUUCCCGGAAAACCCGGAAGUAAAAUCAUGACAAUCCCUAUGGAAGUGUUGCGAACCUUUUUAUAGACCCCACUCACCAACGUCACACAAUGAUGUGUCGCUGUUUCCGGCCACCAUAUUGUCCGUCAUUUUUUAUCCGUAUUCUCAAUGGUUUCAAUUUGUCGUGCAAUUCAUAGUGCAAUUCCUUGAAAGCCCCGGUGCUUUCAGACGCUGUAAACUCAUUGGAUGCGUUGCAUAAAAGGCGUUAUGUGGAAAAGCUGCAGUCUAUCCAUUCGCCAGAUCCAUAUUUGAUGCCUAAAUCGAUAUUUUUCGACCCGCUGUCUUCGCUGUCUCUGCCUGACAUCUGCUACCCUGAUAUCUACAACUAUCUUGUCCACAGAAACUCAGCCUAUUCUCACGAAACUUUGAAAAACUUUAAGAGCAGCACUCUAAGCAACACUACCCUGUGUGACCCUUUACUUUCAAUUUUCUUAAAUGGCGACAAUCAAUAAAAAAAAAAGUUGACUGCGAUGGCCGACGCUGCAAGGAUAGGUGGAUAUGGGACUAUUUCUUCAAUACAAUACACAACAACUGUGUCUGCCUCAUUUGCAAGGGGACAGUCGCUGUUUUCAAAGACACGCUGACAUGUACGACAUUACAAGGAAGAUACACAGCGAGAAAUUAUAGCAACUUGAAGCUAGUUUAAUUUCACAGCAGCAGUAUUCGCAAGAGCCCGAGUGUCGAAAGAGAACGCCACAAAGGCGAGAUUGUUGAAAUGAUGAAAAAAUAAUAAUAAUAAUAAAGCAAAUGUGACACACAGAAGGGCUUGCUAAAAAUUGUUUAAAUAUAUUGUUCUACGUAAAUCAGCCAAGGUAGCCCCCCACGUUUUUACCACACCAAAUCUGGCCCGCUUUGCAAAAGGUUUGGACACCCCUGUUUAACUGAUGAUCCGUAGACGAGGCCAGCUUCUUUCACUUGGUACCAGCUAAAUAUUAUUCAAAAUGUAAUGAUGGCGGAAGAAAUAAGCAUCUUGAAUUUGAAACUGUAUGUUGUCGGCGAUUAGUCUCGCAAUGAUCUUAAUUGUGGUUGUCAGCCCCAAACCCUCUAAAUAUAUAUUAAAUGCAUCUUACCAGGUAUAAAAUGACUACUACAUAAUCUGUGCUGAUCGUUUGGUGCCCAGUUUUCUCGUCGAAUUGCAGCAGUCCAUCUUGCUCUCCUCUCUGGGUCUCUCGGAAUACGGUAAAACUUCAAGACUCUCGUCUAUCUUCUCUGUUACUGCAACCAACCGCCACACACGCCUUCACCAUUUUGAUUAUUAAUGUUAACGAGCAGAAAAACACACCAUAAUAGGAGGAAUUUACAUAGAGGUAAUGCAUAAACACGACGAGCUGACGGACAAUAUGGCGCGGAGGGAUAUGGCCCUGUUCAUGGUAACCCAAAGUUCUAAGCUAAUUUCGGUAUUACGUACGCACGACACUUUUGGAUGGUCCCCUCUGCAAAUUAUACGGUAAAUUAUUAUUACUCCUUUUACAUUCAUAAGACUAAACAGCAGGGGUGAAAGUGGUUGGAAUUUCUUGCCGGAACUCCCCGACAUGAAGGUCGCCAUGGAGCCAGAAA